RNAcentral lists this ribosomal RNA (497 nucleotides) under uncultured bacterium. RNAcentral describes it as "partial 16S ribosomal RNA". It matches the Rfam family "Bacterial small subunit ribosomal RNA", at positions 28 to 507 of the family's 1533-position model. The record is from RNAcentral.
GAUGAACGCUGGCGGCGUGCCUAAUACAUGCAAGUCGAGCGAACAGACGAGGAGCUUGCUCCUCUGACGUUAGCGGCGGACGGGUGAGUAACACGUGGAUAACCUACCUAUAAGACUGGGAUAACUUCGGGAAACCGGAGCUAAUACCGGAUAAUAUAUUGAACCGCAUGGUUCAAUAGUGAAAGACGGUUUUGCUGUCACUUAUAGAUGGAUCCGCGCCGCAUUAGCUAGUUGGGAAGGUAACGGCUUACCAAGGCAACGAUGCGUAGCCGACCUGAGAGGGUGAUCGGCCACACUGGAACUGAGACACGGUCCAGACUCCUACGGGAGGCAGAGGUAGGGAAUCUUCCGCAAUGGGCGAAAUCCUGACGGAGCAACGCCGCGUGAGUGAUGAAGGUCUUCGGAUCGUAAAACUCUGUUAUUAGGGAAGAACAAAUGUGUAAGUAACUAUGCACGUCUUGACGGUACCUAAUCAGAAAGCCACGGCUAACUACGUG